GACGAACGCUGGCGGCGUGCUUAACACAUGCAAGUCGAACGGAAAGGCCCUGCUUUUGUGGGGUGCUCGAGUGGCGAACGGGUGAGUAACACGUGAGUAACCUGCCCUUGACUUUGGGAUAACUUCAGGAAACUGGGGCUAAUACCGGAUAGGAACUCCUGCUGCAUGGUGGGGGUUGGAAAGUUUCGGCGGUUGGGGAUGGACUCGCGGCUUAUCAGCUUGUUGGUGGGGUAGUGGCUUACCAAGGCUUUGACGGGUAGCCGGCCUGAGAGGGUGACCGGCCACAUUGGGACUGAGAGACGGACCAGACUCCUACGGGAGGCAGCAGUGGGGAAUAUUGCACAAUGGGCGGAAGCCUGAUGCAGCAACGCCGCGUGCGGGAUGACGGCCUUCGGGUUGUAAACCGCUGUCGCCUGUGACGAAGCGUGAGUGACGGUAAUGGGUAAAGAAGCACCGGCUAACUACGUG
Molecule: ribosomal RNA, 468 nt
Filed under: uncultured bacterium
Lineage: Bacteria
Description: partial 16S ribosomal RNA
Rfam family: Bacterial small subunit ribosomal RNA
Source: RNAcentral